This 497-nucleotide ribosomal RNA is filed under the name uncultured bacterium. RNAcentral's name for it is "partial 16S ribosomal RNA". It matches the Rfam family "Bacterial small subunit ribosomal RNA", at positions 28 to 507 of the family's 1533-position model. The record is from RNAcentral.
GACGAACGCUGGCGGCGUGCCUAAUACAUGCAAGUAGAACGCUUAAGAGAGGAGCUUGCUCUUCUUGGAUGAGUUGCGAACGGGUGAGUAACGCGUAGUUAACCUGCCUUGUAGCGGGGGAUAACUAUUGGAAACGAUAGCUAAUACCGCAUAACAAUGGAUGACACAUUUCAUUUAUUUGCAAGUGGCAAUUGCUCCACUACAAGAUGUACCUGCGUUGUAUUAGCUAGUAGGUGAGGUAAUGGCUCACCUAGGCGACGAUGCAUAGCCGACCUGAGAGGGUGAUCGGCCACACUGGGACUGAGACACGGCCCAGACUGCUACGGGAGGCAGCAGUAGGGAAUCUUCGGCAAUGGGGGCAACCCUGACCAAGCAACGCCGCGUGAGGGCAGAAGGUUUUCGGAUCGUAAAGCUCUGUUGUAAGUCAAGAACGGGUGUGAGAGUGGAAAGUUCACACUGUGACGGUAGCUUACCAGAAAGGGACGGCUAACUACGUG